CAAAGGUUUGGUCCUGACCUUACUAUCAGCUCUAACCCAACUUACACAUGCAAGUCUCCGCCUCCCCGUGAGAAUGCCCUUAAUGUCCUGCCCGGAAUUAAGGAGCAGGCAUCAGGCACAAACAAUUAGCCCACGACGCCUUGCUCAGCCACACCCCUACGGGUACUCAGCAGUGAUAAAAUUUAAGCAAUAAGUGAAAACUUGACUUAGUCAGGGAUAAGAGGGCCGGUAAAACUCGUGCCAGCCACCGCGGUUAUACGAGAGGCCCAAGUUGAUGAAAUGCGGCGUAAAGAGUGGUUAAGAAAAUUAAAGAAUAAGGCCGAACAACCUCAAAGCAGUUAUACGCAUCCGAGGCCACGAAGUACAAUUACGAAAGUAGCCCUAAUGAAAAUCUGACUCCACGAAAGCCAUAAAACAAACUGGGAUUAGAUACCCCACUAUG
Molecule: ribosomal RNA, 442 nt
Filed under: Ciliata mustela (fivebeard rockling)
Lineage: Eukaryota; Metazoa; Chordata; Actinopteri; Gadiformes; Lotidae
Description: partial small subunit ribosomal RNA
Rfam family: Bacterial small subunit ribosomal RNA
Source: RNAcentral